GCGGAUUUGAAUAGAUUCUAUAGGUGCUUACAAACCCCCGUAUCAGCCUUCCAAGCUGAUAGCGUGGGUUCGAUUCCCAUCACCCGCU
This 88-nucleotide transfer RNA is filed under the name Paenibacillus monticola. Its description in RNAcentral is "Paenibacillus sp. LC-T2 tRNA-Ser". It matches the Rfam family "tRNA", at positions 10 to 71 of the family's 71-position model. Rfam says of the family: Transfer RNA (tRNA) molecules are approximately 80 nucleotides in length. Their secondary structure includes four short double-helical elements and three loops (D, anti-codon, and T loops). The record is from RNAcentral. Lineage: Bacteria; Bacillati; Bacillota; Bacilli; Caryophanales; Paenibacillaceae.